Chionomys nivalis (European snow vole) is the source of this 509-nucleotide long non-coding RNA. RefSeq lists it as uncharacterized. Lineage: Eukaryota; Metazoa; Chordata; Mammalia; Rodentia; Cricetidae. The record is from RefSeq and is a predicted model, not a curated record. The transcript has 4 exons.
AUGGAAGUGAGCUAAGAGAGGCCAAGCACGUCACCCACUUGAAAAGUACCAGUGUCUAUCCAGAGGGCCAGCUCAUCCUUGGCUGUACCGAAACCACGGGAAGGAGUGAGGUUAGUGGAUAGGACUCUCCGAUACGUCAACGUGAUCGUUCAAGGGCUAAGCCCUGUGGCUUGCAAGGACAGAUGAGGAGAUAGUGUGUGGAGAUAUGCUUCUGGAAACUCUGAAAGGUGAACAACACAGUUCCGGAAUGAGCAGGAUCCACAGGACAUGCAGGCCAUGAAGAUACUGCACCUGUCAGCUUAGGUUCUGUGCCUCUCUGGAUCAAACCCAGGGCCUCCUGCAUGCUCAGCAAACACUCUACAGAGCUACAGCGUUAACCAGCUCAAACUGUGCCCUGCACUCCUGACCACCAACUUCAGCGUCUCUAAAGACCUCCUCAUCUCAGGGAUGAAUUCUGAGCUCACGUUCUGGACUGCUGCCAGGAAGAAGGAAGCGGCGUUAGUUUAAAG